AGAGUUUGAUCCUGGCUCAGGAUGAACGUUGGCGGCAUGGAUUAGGCAUGCAAGUCGAGCGAGAACCAGUCCUUCGGAGCUGGGGAAAGCGGCGAACGGCGUAGUAAUGCGUAGGAACGUACCCCUCGGUCGGGAAUAACCACGGGAAGCUGUGGAUAAUGCCCGACGAUCUCUGCGGAGCAAAGGUGAGAUUCCGCCGGGGGAGCGGCUUACGUGAUAUUAGCUUGAUGGUGGGGUAAUGGCCCACCAUGGCAAUGAUGUCUAGGGGGUGUGAGAGCAUGGCCCCCACGACCGGAACUGAGACACUGUCCGGACACCUACGGGUGGCUGCAGUCGAGAAUCUUCGGCAAUGCGCGAAAGCGUGACCGAGCGAUGCCGCGUGGUGGAUGAAGGCCCUUGGGUUGUAAACACCUGUCAGAGGGGAUGAAAUCCUGGUUAGCUAUCCUUCCAGGUUGACAAAGCCUCAAAGGAAGCACGGGCUAAGUACGUGCCAGCAGCCGCGGUAAU
This 507-nucleotide ribosomal RNA is filed under the name uncultured Planctomycetota bacterium. Its description in RNAcentral is "bacterial SSU rRNA". It matches the Rfam family "Bacterial small subunit ribosomal RNA", at positions 8 to 524 of the family's 1533-position model. The record is from RNAcentral. Lineage: Bacteria; Pseudomonadati; Planctomycetota.